RNAcentral lists this ribosomal RNA (675 nucleotides) under Acaulospora delicata. RNAcentral's name for it is "eukaryotic LSU rRNA". It matches the Rfam family "Eukaryotic large subunit ribosomal RNA", at positions 65 to 626 of the family's 3401-position model. The record is from RNAcentral. Lineage: Eukaryota; Fungi; Glomeromycota; Glomeromycetes; Diversisporales; Acaulosporaceae.
CUAACAAGGAUUCCCUCAGUAACGGCGAGUGAAGUGGGAAAAGCUCAAAUUUUAAAUCACCCGGGUUACCUUGGUGAAUUGUAAUUUGAAGAAAGUGUUUUGACGUUCGGGUUCGAUUUAAAUCCUUUGGGAUAAGGUAUCAUAGAGGGUUAGAAUCCCGUUUAUGAUUGAUCCUUUGAAUGUCUAUAAUUCACUUUCCAAGAGUCGAGUUGUUUGGGAUUGCAGCUCAAAAUGGGUGGUAAAUUUCACCUAAGGCUAAAUAUAUGCAAGAGACCGAUAGCGAACAAGUACCGUGAGGGAAAGAUGAAAAGAACUUUGAAAAGAGAGUUAAAUAGUACGUGAAAUUGUUGAAAGGGAAACGAUUAAAGUCAGUCAUGUUGGUAGGGAAUCAACUUGAUGGUAUGCGGGUUUACUCGCGUUCUUUUGGGUGCACUUCCUUACUUGCAAGUUAGCAUCAAUUUUGGUUAUCAUAUAAAAAUCGAGGGAAGGUGGCCUUUCUUCGGAAAAGUGUUAUAGACCUCGAGAAAUGUGAUGACCGGGAUUGAGGAUUGCAGCGGAUGCCCUUUUGGGCUAGUCACCUGGCUUCUGAUGGUUACCCUGUCUUCGACAGCUUGCUGACGUUGAUGGGACUUGAUCGUCUAGAUGUAGGAGUGAUCGUAAAUUCGCUAAGGAUGC